This 182-nucleotide non-coding RNA is filed under the name unclassified sequences. The record is from Rfam.
CCCGGUGGAGUAUGCCUACUCCACAAAAAUAGGCAUACUGCGCUAUUAUUAAAGGAGGAAACCCCGUUCGGCUCACGGUGCGGCAGUGUGGAGACCUGUCGUAAUGCUUCCGCUAUUUUACCUGGCGGAAUGCGAGUACACAUCUUGAGGAUUCAGUGUGUACGGAGUCAAAAAACAUGGCA